UCUCCGUUUGUGAACCAGCGGAGGGAUCAUUACAGGAUCGAAAGACUCCUAUAACCCCUGUGAACUUACUACAAAUACGUUGCCUCGGCGGGUGCCCCGGGUCUCCCGGGGCGUUCAGCCCGCCGGCAGCCUUCAAAUUCUGUUUCUUUGCGUUGGCAUCUCGAGUAUACAAAAAUAAGUUAAAACUUUCAACAACGGAUCUCUUGGUUCUGACAUCGAUGAAGAACGCAGC
RNAcentral lists this unclassified non-coding RNA (232 nucleotides) under plant metagenome. Its description in RNAcentral is "partial contains small subunit ribosomal RNA, internal transcribed spacer 1, and 5.8S ribosomal RNA". The stretch from base 184 to 232 matches the Rfam family "5.8S ribosomal RNA", at positions 1 to 49 of the family's 154-position model. The record is from RNAcentral.